GUUGAUAGCUUCCUCUGGAAUUGUUUAUGAACUUCUUUCCAAUUGAAAAGGUGUAUGUAAUAUAUCUCUCCCAUUGGAUCUCGAUCAUAGAGUUAAGAUCAACCAAGAAAAAUGCAAGUUACUUGCAUAGAAAAAAUAUAACAAAGUAUAGAAUCGCUAUAAGCAGCACACUUAAAUGUAAGAAGGCGAUGACAAGUUAGUGGAACAAUGGAGAUAUUAAUGCAAGCCAGCUUGUGUGGGUGUGGAUGCAGUCUGGUUGGAAGCUUGAGGCAUUCAACUAUGGAUGCCGAUACCACAUUCAUGCAAUUUCCUCCAUCUAUGAUAAGUUUCUUUACUUGAUUUCCACAAUGAAGCAAAGUCUGAAAUACUGAAUUGUGUGCCACUCCUCUUCUUCUGCUUUAAGGGUUACUAAAUGUAUCUCACAAUAAAGAGGAUGGUAGAAUGAACACCUUCAUAUACUAGAUUAUCCCCUGCAUGAUUACAUUCACUUGAAUUUGCCUCAUCAUCUUCUAGUACUGAUUCUUCAUUCUUUCAUGCUACUCCAAAAUGCAAAUUCUGUUUUUGUAGACAUUGAUGUCUUAUGUGUCCAUCCUCUCCACACUUAAAAAGCAUGCAACACUCAUCUUGCCUUUAGCAUUAGUGUCAUUAGAUGAAGCAGGUUUGAAUUAGUGAAAUGGUUAAAUGACUGCAAAACAGCUGACUUGCUGUCAUAAGUUGCAUCAAAACCUCUUUUUGCAACUAUCUCCUUGCAUUGAACCCCAAAUUUCUUAGUUAUAGGUUGGUUCAAGUAUUCCGCCAUGUAAGGGCUACGUGGAAUGCAUGUUCUACACUGCAUAUAGGGUAUCUAAGCAAUCUUUCUUAAUAUCAAACCUUUGUCUAAACUUAAAUUUAGCUAAUGCCUCUGUAGCAUCUCUCACAACUUGACUUUGGAUUUUUAACUCAUCAUGCUGGUGCAUAUAUUCAACCACAAGGAUGCUGAUCUUUCAAAUUCUGCGCUUUCUUGUGCAUUUUUUGAAGAUAAUUGUAUGGCAUAUACUUUUCUUGUAGCCUGUUGGUUACCACAAUUCUUUCAUAUCAUGUUUAAUACCAUAAGACCAUAUUUUAGCUAAUCUACUAAGCUUCAUCUUAGCAUACCUCAGUUUGUGAUCUUCUCCCAAGUUAUGCCAAUCAAAGUAAGAUUCAUAAGAAUGGAGCCAAUCACAAAAUAAUGCAAGAUCUAUCCUACCUUCAAAAUAGGGAUCUUAUAACUUGACUUUCUUAGUGAUGUCUCCUACUGUAUUUCGUGGUUGAAUUCAGUUGUAACUUGAAGACUUUGUUUAGCUCCUAUGUUUGCUAUCCAAGAGAGUGCUUGACUAUAGUUUCUUUUAUUGCUUGCUAGUUAGAGUUAAUAGAAUAGAAGACACCAUCUUAAGUUACUCAUACUGUCAAGAAAUUACUCAAUUUAGGUAAGGGUCUAAGAAUAAGUUUUAAUAUCUCUAACACAGCCGUUUUAGCUUCUAUUGAAUUCAUUGUUUUUGUUCAAGCAAUCCAAUCUUGUUUUUGUAUCUUCAAGAUUGUAGUGAAGAAUCAAGCUUUGAAAUAAUCAAACCUCAUUGAAAAGAAUUGAACUUUGAUUUUAAUUCAAUGUUUGCCACCCUUGUUGAUGGGAAUCAAAGUAGCAAACUUCAAGGAUCUUCAAACUUUGAUACCAAACCAAGCUUGCAGGCUUUGAUUAUUCAAGCUAGAUUUUGGUUUGUUUGAAAGCUGGAAUGAAUAGAAAAUUAGGCAAACCAUUGUAGCUAGGAGUAGCUAAAUGUUGAAAUAGGAGAAGGAAAAAAGUACUGAAUUCUUUUAAUGUUUUAUAACUGGGUUAAAAAAGUUCUCCAUGCCUUUUUUUUCUGUUAAAUAAUGCCUCAAUAUCCUUGAAUUGGAAAAUUUGUGGACUAAAUAGCACAAUUGAAAAAUAGACUCAGUUGACAAAUCUUGAAAUGUUAAAACUUAAAAGAGCUCUAUAAUGGGUUUUUCCAAACAUUUAUAGAUACUGUAUGUGCAAGCGCAUGGGUGAAUAGGGCAUUUUUGGAAAUGCAUAAAAAUGUUGUUAUGAAUAGAAAAACAUAGAUCUGGAAAAUUGUCAAAUGGUCUCAUUAGAAAUUGAAGAGUGUUUGCUGAUUUCAAUACCAUACUGAAAUGCCUCCUAAACAUUUCUGCUUGUGCCAGACUGCAAUAUGAAAAGGUUUUACAUCUUUUAUCUUUUUCGUUUUUGUUAUUAUCUUUUUAUUAGUGUUAUUCUUAGUUUUUUUUUUUUGU
RNAcentral lists this unclassified non-coding RNA (2286 nucleotides) under Hevea brasiliensis (rubber tree). The record is from RNAcentral. Lineage: Eukaryota; Viridiplantae; Streptophyta; Magnoliopsida; Malpighiales; Euphorbiaceae.